Molecule: ribosomal RNA, 253 nt
Filed under: uncultured bacterium
Lineage: Bacteria
Description: partial 16S ribosomal RNA
Rfam family: Bacterial small subunit ribosomal RNA
Source: RNAcentral
UACGUAGGGGGCAAGCGUUGUCCGGAUUUAUUGGGCGUAAAGAGCGUGUAGGCGGUUAGGUAGGUCCGUUGUGAAAAUUCGAGGCUCAACCUCGAGACGCCGAUGGAAACCAUCUGACUAGAGUCCGGAAGAGGAGAGUGGAAUUCCGGGUGGAGUGGUGAAAUGCGUAGAGAUCCGGAGGAACACCAGAGGCGAAGGCGGCCUGCUGGGCUGCACCUGACGCUGAGCCGCGAAAGCCAGGGGAGCGAACGGG